GCCCCCGUAGCUCAGUCCGGAUUAGAGCAACGGGCUUCUAUCCCGUCGGUCGCAGGUUCGAAUCCUGUCGGGGGCA
This 76-nucleotide transfer RNA is filed under the name Acidimicrobiales bacterium. RNAcentral describes it as "tRNA-Arg". It matches the Rfam family "tRNA". From Rfam's summary of the family: Transfer RNA (tRNA) molecules are approximately 80 nucleotides in length. Their secondary structure includes four short double-helical elements and three loops (D, anti-codon, and T loops). Lineage: Bacteria; Bacillati; Actinomycetota; Acidimicrobiia; Acidimicrobiales. The record is from RNAcentral.